RNAcentral lists this ribosomal RNA (407 nucleotides) under uncultured bacterium. RNAcentral's name for it is "partial 16S ribosomal RNA". It matches the Rfam family "Bacterial small subunit ribosomal RNA", at positions 30 to 526 of the family's 1533-position model. The record is from RNAcentral.
AUUGAACGCUGGCGGCAGGCCUAACACAUGCAAGUCGAGCGGAGCGGCGGACGGGUGAGUACUGCCUAGGAAUCUGCCUGGUAGUGGGGGAUAACGUCCGGAAACGGGCGCUAAUACCGCAUACUAUCAGAUUAGCCUAGGUCGGAUUGGCUAGUUGGUGGGGUAAAGGCCUACCAAGGCGACGAUCCGUAACUGGGCUGAGAGGAUGAUCAGUUAAACUGGAACUGUGAAACGGUCCAAACUCCUACGGGGGGCAGCGGUGGGGGAUAUUGGACAAAGGGCUGAAGGCUGAUCCAGCCAUGCCGCGUAUGUGAAGAAGGUCUUCGGAUUGUAAAGCACUUUGAGUUGAGAGGCGUUACCAACAGAAUAAGCACCGGCAAACUUCGUGCCAGCAGCCGCGGUAAUAC